Molecule: ribosomal RNA, 301 nt
Filed under: uncultured bacterium
Lineage: Bacteria
Description: partial 16S ribosomal RNA
Rfam family: Bacterial small subunit ribosomal RNA
Source: RNAcentral
CAGUCGCCGCGGUAAUACAGAGGGUUCGAGCGUUAAUCGGAUUUACUGGGCGUAAAGCGUGCGUAGGCGGCUUUUUAAGUCGGAUGUGAAAUCCCUGAGCUUAACUUAGGAAUUGCAUUCGAUACUGGGAAGCUAGAGUAUGGGAGAGGAUGGUAGAAUUCCAGGUGUAGCGGUGAAAUGCGUAGAGAUCUGGAGGAAUACCGAUGGCGAAGGCAGCCAUCUGGCCUAAUACUGACGCUGAGGUACGAAAGCAUGGGGAGCAAACAGGAUUAGAGACCCCGGUAGUCCCUGUCUCUUAUAA